AUAUUUAUUUCCGGACACUUGUUACUAUAAAACAACCGAAAUUUUUGUACUUACAGCACUAUUCUUGAAGCAAUAAUUAUCAACAAUGGCCAAAAUCCUACUAAAGGCAUUUAUAAUAACCGCUUUAAUGGUAUAUUUUGCCUACGCUCUCCCUCAAAAAGAGGAGCAAGAUCGAGCCCCGAAAUAAGAUUACGCAUUUAUAAAAAAAGAAGCAAGGAUACAUGAAAAGGAAUGAAGCUUUGUUAGAACACUAUAUUAAACUAUUUGCAAACUAAAAAA
Tribolium madens (black flour beetle) is the source of this 279-nucleotide long non-coding RNA. RefSeq lists it as uncharacterized. The record is from RefSeq and is a predicted model, not a curated record. Lineage: Eukaryota; Metazoa; Arthropoda; Insecta; Coleoptera; Tenebrionidae. The transcript is spliced from 3 exons.